This 433-nucleotide ribosomal RNA is filed under the name uncultured bacterium. Its description in RNAcentral is "partial 16S ribosomal RNA". It matches the Rfam family "Bacterial small subunit ribosomal RNA", at positions 29 to 507 of the family's 1533-position model. The record is from RNAcentral.
AACGAACGCUGGCGGCAUGCCUAACACAUGCAAGUCGAACGAGACCUUCGGGUCUAGUGGCGCACGUCUGCGUAACGCGUGGGAACCUGCCCUUAGGUUCGGAAUAACUCCCCGAAAGGGGUGCUAAUACCGGAUAAUGUCUUCGGACCAAAGAUUUAUCGCCUUUGGAUGGGCCCGCGUUGGAUUAGCUAGUUGGUAGGGUAAAAGCCUACCAAGGCGACGAUCCAUAGCUGGUCUGAGAGGAUGAUCAGCCACACUGGGACUGAGACACGGCCCAGACUCCUACGGGAGGGAGCGGUGGGGAAUAUUGGACAAUGGGCGAAAGCCUGAUCCAGCAGUGCCGCGUGAGUGAUGAAGGCCUUAGGGUUGUAAAGCUCUUUUACCCGAGAUGAUAAUGACAGUACCGGGAGAAUAAGCUCCGGCUAACUCCGUG